GGCCUAAAAUGCAAGUCGAGCGGUAACACAGGGAGCUUGCUCCUGGGUGACGAGCGGCGGACGGGUGAAUAAUGUCUGGGAAACUGCCUGAUGGAGGGGGAUAACUACUGGAAACGGUAGCUAAUACCGCAUAACGUCUCAAGACCAAAGAGGGGGACCUUCUGGCCUCUUGCCAUCACAUGUGCCCCCAUGGGAUUAUCUAGUAGGUGGGGUAACGGCUCACCUAGGCGACAAUCCCUAGCUGGUCUGAGAGGAUGACCAGCCUCUCUGGAAAUGAGACACUGUCCACACUCCUACGGUAGGCGCC
This 307-nucleotide ribosomal RNA is filed under the name Enterobacter asburiae. RNAcentral's name for it is "bacterial SSU rRNA". It matches the Rfam family "Bacterial small subunit ribosomal RNA", at positions 55 to 352 of the family's 1533-position model. The record is from RNAcentral. Lineage: Bacteria; Pseudomonadati; Pseudomonadota; Gammaproteobacteria; Enterobacterales; Enterobacteriaceae.